CGGAACUGCAGCUGUCUGCUGUUUAGUCCGGCAGGCAGCACGACACAUGCGCAUAGAAAUGCGGAAGUGGCUUUUUAACCGCUCUGUGUAGCUAAUCCGCCGCUCUCUAUUGUGAUUAGUCCUCCAGGUAAUAACGAGCAUGCGCCCGACAACUUAAAACCAGCAACUGUUUCUAAUAACCACUACGCGUGCGGGCAAGCAGUCGAUUCAUGGACCGCCGGCUCAGCGUUAUCCUCCUUCUAAACUAGGAUGCCCCUCAUCUAUUUCCGCCGUUUUAUGCCCGAACCCAUCCCGGGAACGGACCGGUUCGGCUCACAGCUGCCCCUGAGCACCUGGCGCCAUCCAAAUUGCUCGCCGCUGCGGUGGACCAGCAGACUUGCCCUUCCAGCCCCAGCCCUGCACCGUCCCCCGGCCGUUUAAAAGCACUCUCAGCAGUAGUGGAACCCGAGCAGCUCGGAGAUUCGCGGUCGUGAUACGGGUGUGAAGGGGAUCCGGCACUGCAGCAUCCCGGGACCCGCCAGUAUUGAGAAAACACUACGCGUGCGCAAGUCUCGAGAAAGCGCUACGCUAUGCGCCAGCCUCGGCGCCACACUGCGCAUGCGCCAGUCUCGAUGAGGUACUACGCAUGCGCAAGUCUCGGCAGCGCACUGUGCAUGCGGCACCCCGUACACACCAUUUCGCAAGCGCAUAUUCGGGUACACAUCUACGCAUGCGAUUUCUUCGGCUCCUCAUUACGCAUGCGACGGGCGCAGGGUCCGCUGGGAGCCAAAAUAGUCAGAUGCCGGGGCAGGCUCGGGCGCAAAACCACCCGAGAAAAUAGACGAGGGGCAUCCUGGAUGAAAAAAGAGAAAAGUUUUCUGGCGCAUGCAGACUACUCUCUGGAGGACUGAGCAUGACAAAGAUCGGCGGAUUUGGUGCGCAGAGCGACGAGAAUGUACGUGCACCACUUUCUCGUGCCUGCGCGCAUGCGUCCUGCUGCCUGCGGCACCGACCAUACACGGCCGCGAUUCCGCCGAUCGGCCAUGCGGGGGCGCCAAAGACCGCGGAAACAACAACAACGAGCGGGUUGACGCCGACCGGCAGCGCAGCCCCUGUUCUUGUUCUCGUGCGGGCAGAGGAGAAACGCGAAGUUAGGUGGGGAGUGAGGGGAGAAAAAAAAAUAAAAAAAGAUGAAUAAAACCAAGGAAAACAUCAAACAAAGCUCCUGAUUCUCAGCCUUCUCAGUCCUUUCUGAAAAUCCAGAGGCCUCCCUCUUGGCUCCACUGCUGGCCUGCAAAGCCCGAGCUUGCAGUCUGUUGAAAGUCCUUGUUACUAAAACUGCUGCUGGAAGGAAAACCUGAAAGUCUGGGGGAAUAUUUACCGGCACAUCAGAGCAGCUGAGACCCGAGGCCCGGAGCUCUUUGUGCUGACUGACUGCCACUGGCCUCAGUUCAUUCUGUUAGUCUCCCAGCAGUGCGUUUCCCACUCGUGAACCCUGGAGGUAGUGCCUUUUUUGCAGGCACGCGCUGCAGUGCUUUUUGCAGGCCGGAUGUUAGGAAGAAGUUAUUCUCACAAAGAGCGGCGCGGCGUUGGCACCGCAGCUGCCCCUCGGAGGUGCUGCAGAACAGCGCAGAUGUGGCGCCGAGCGCUGCCGUUCCGGGCCGCGGUACGAACGGGCUGCAGUUACCACGUGACCCCGCAGGUCUUUCCCAGCCGUAUCGACUCUCCCGCUCUGCCACUUGCAGCCACGCACGCCGCCCAUCACGGCACCCCCAACGCAGCCACGCCCCUUCGCCCUCAUUGGUCGGCACUGCCACACGCACCCCCUCCCUCCCCGCGCAGAGCGGCACGGUUGGGU
RNAcentral lists this long non-coding RNA (1837 nucleotides) under Gallus gallus (chicken). RNAcentral's name for it is "lncRNA (ENSGALG00010011504.1)". Lineage: Eukaryota; Metazoa; Chordata; Aves; Galliformes; Phasianidae. The record is from RNAcentral.